RNAcentral lists this ribosomal RNA (450 nucleotides) under uncultured bacterium. Its description in RNAcentral is "partial 16S ribosomal RNA". It matches the Rfam family "Bacterial small subunit ribosomal RNA", at positions 354 to 796 of the family's 1533-position model. The record is from RNAcentral.
GUGGGGAAUUUUGGACAAUGGGCGCAAGCCUGAUCCAGCAAUGCCGCGUGUGUGAAGAAGGCCUUCGGGUUGUAAAGCACUUUUGUCCGGAAAGAAAUGGCCUGGGUUAAUACCCCGGGUCGAUGACGGUACCGGAAGAAUAAGCACCGGCUAACUACGUGCCAGCAGCCGCGGUAAUACGUAGGGUGCGAGCGUUAAUCGGAAUUACUGGGCGUAAAGCGUGCGCAGGCGGCGAUGCAAGACAGAUGUGAAAUCCCCGGGCUCAACCUGGGAACUGCAUUUGUGACUGCAUGGCUAGAGUGCGUCAGAGGGGGGUGGAAUUCCGCGUGUAGCAGUGAAAUGCGUAGAGAUGCGGAGGAACACCGAUGGCGAAGGCAGCCCCCUGGGAUGACACUGACGCUCAUGCACGAAAGCGUGGGGAGCAAACAGGAUUAGAUACCCUAGUAGUCC